Molecule: ribosomal RNA, 553 nt
Filed under: uncultured bacterium
Lineage: Bacteria
Description: bacterial SSU rRNA
Rfam family: Bacterial small subunit ribosomal RNA
Source: RNAcentral
GCAGUCGGGAAUUUUGGGCAAUGGGCGAAAGCCUGACCCAGCAACGCCGCGUGAAGGAUGAAAUCCCUCGGGAUGUAAACUUCGCAAGAACGGGAAGAAUAAGUAGGGGACAAUACCCCCUAUGAUGACGGUACCGUUUGUAAGCUCCGGCUAACUCCGUGCCAGCAGCCGCGGUAAUACGGGGGGAGCAAGCGUUGUUCGGAUUUACUGGGCGUAAAGGGCGCGUAGGCGGCCAGCACAAGUCAGUUGUGAAAUCUCCGAGCUUAACUCGGAAAGGUCAACUGAUACUGUGCGGCUAGAGUGCAGAAGGGGCAACUGGAAUUCUCGGUGUAGCGGUGAAAUGCGUAGAUAUCGAGAGGAACACCUGCGGCGAAGGCGGGUUGCUGGGCUGACACUGACGCUGAGGCGCGAAAGCUAGGGGAGCGAACGGGAUUAGAUACCCCGGUAGUCCUAGCCUUAAACGAUGAAUGCUUGGUGUCUGGGGUUAUAUAGUCCCCGGGUGCCGUCGCUAACGCUUUAAGCAUUCCGCCUGGGGAGUACGGUCGCAAGACUG